GAUGACCACAUAAAUCAAGAUAACAUUGGAACGAUACAAAGAGGAUUAGCAUGGCCCUGCACGAGGAUGACACGCACAAAUCAAAAAAUGGUCAAAAAAAUU
RNAcentral lists this small nuclear RNA (102 nucleotides) under Olea europaea subsp. europaea. Lineage: Eukaryota; Viridiplantae; Streptophyta; Magnoliopsida; Lamiales; Oleaceae. The record is from RNAcentral.